Molecule: long non-coding RNA, 581 nt
Organism: Macrobrachium nipponense
Lineage: Eukaryota; Metazoa; Arthropoda; Malacostraca; Decapoda; Palaemonidae
Exons: 3
Source: RefSeq, a predicted model, not a curated record
ACUGAUCGGCACACGCUUGUCUUGAUGACUUUAAUGGGCCAAUGCAUGGCUUUUAUGAUCAGAGGAAGUCUCUCCGUCGCAAUCGUUGCCAUGGUGUCCUCUAAUUCCAGUUCGACUCACGGUCACGGGGCUGAGAAUCACGUCGAUGUUUGUCCAGUGCCGCCUUGUGCCAACUGUACCCUCGGUCUAGAAAAGGAAGGCGAAUUCGACUGGGAUGAACAGCUGCAAGGCUUGGUGCUUGGGGCGCACUUCUACGGAUACUUGUCGUCGUGUUUUGUCGCAGGACUGGUGGUGGAUCACUUCGGCGGGCGCCUCAUGUACGGCGUCAGUAACGUGGGAAUGUCGAUCCUCAGUGUGCUGGCUCCCGUCUCAGCUCGCACGUCUAUUUGGCUGUUGAUCACCAACAAAGUUCUCAGCGGUUUGAUCCAGUUAAAAGACAUCGACUUCAAGCGUGUCCUGACUUCUCUCCCCUUUUGGGCGCUCGUGUCGUUCCACAUAGGAGACAACUUCGGCUACUACUUGCUGUCUUCGGAGAUGCCUACCUACCUGAGCAACAUCCAGCAUCUUGACCUUAACAAGGU